UGGAAUGGUGUCUCUGUGGCUGUCUUGGA
This 29-nucleotide non-coding RNA is filed under the name Mus musculus (house mouse). Lineage: Eukaryota; Metazoa; Chordata; Mammalia; Rodentia; Muridae. The record is from RNAcentral.